UUGCGCAAGCACUGUUUAUUGACGCAAUCUUCGCAAUCAUCUGUCGGGCCCUCACGCCUAUGAUUACCAACAGAAUCACUGCCCGGACAUAGAGUCCACAGCAGCCCGCCCAAUCAGGCCGGCUGCGGCCCGCCAACCCCACCGGGUUGUGCCGGCCCCCGGGCUGCACACUGUCCACAAGACGGCGUGAGGUGAGCCAACGUCAUAAGCGUUGAGCCAGGACGAAGUUCUCAAGGGGCGACCGACGGGUCGCCCC
Non-coding RNA from Pseudomonas brenneri, 256 nucleotides. The record is from Rfam. Lineage: Bacteria; Pseudomonadati; Pseudomonadota; Gammaproteobacteria; Pseudomonadales; Pseudomonadaceae.